Daucus carota subsp. sativus is the source of this 1905-nucleotide RNA transcript. It is a transcript of the gene named serine/arginine-rich splicing factor SR34B, with no coding region annotated. The transcript is spliced from 15 exons. The record is from RefSeq and is a predicted model, not a curated record. NCBI's taxonomy places the organism in Eukaryota, Viridiplantae, Streptophyta, Magnoliopsida, Apiales, Apiaceae.
GUUAAAGAAAAAAAGAAGGUCAAACACUCGCGAGAGUAUCAAAUUUCAACUACUAUUUCAUCCCACAAUCGUACCCCUUGUCCUAAACUUUGGAAACCCUAAUCUUGAAUCGCUCUCCGCCAACAUCCGCAGGCAAGAUGAGUCGGUCAAGUAGAACUCUGUAUGUUGGCAAUCUUCCUGGUGAUAUUCGUGAGCGGGAAGUCGAAGAUCUCUUUUACAAGUAUGGACCGAUUGCGCAUAUUGAUUUGAAAAUACCACCUAGGCCCCCUGGUUUUGCGUUUGUUGAGUUUGAAGAAGCUCGUGAUGCUGAGGAUGCUAUUAGGGGACGUGAUGGUUAUGAUUUUGAUGGACACCGAUUGCGGGUUGAGCUGGCACAUGGUGGACGUGGUAAUUCGUCGGCAACAGACCGCUAUAGUAAUCAUGGCCGUGGUCGUGGUGGAGGGGGAGGGGGAGGUGGAGGUGGUGGAGGACGUGGAGGCGUGUCAAGGCGGUCUGAUUAUCGUGUGAUGGUGAGCGGAUUACCCUCUUCUGCUUCAUGGCAAGACCUUAAAGAUCAUAUGCGCCGUGCAGGAGAUGUAUGCUUCUCACAAGUCUUCCGUGAAGGUGGUGGCACUACUGGUAUUGUGGAUUAUACAAACUAUGAUGAUAUGAAAUAUGCUAUCAGAAAAUUGGAUGAGUCGGAGUUUAAAAAUGCCUUUUCCCGCGGUGUGAUUCGAGUAAAGGUUUAUGAUUCAAGCCGCAGUCCAGGUCACAGAGGCAGGAGUCGCAGCCGAAGCCGAAGUAAGAGUCGGAGCAGGAGCAAGAGCAAAUCUCCAAAACCCAAAUCUUCACGUCGCUCAAGAUCUCGUUCUAGGUCCAUAUCUUCUCGCUCUCGAUCCCGCUCUCGAUCAAAGCCACGUGCUACAUCAAGAUAAUGGAUAUAUGCGGCUAUCUGGGGAUUGCAUAAUAAAAUGUUGGUGGGAUUUGGUUCAAAUGCAUACAAUAUAUGGUUGUGGAGGGUGCUAUAUUGGGAACACAGGAGAUCAUGGAUCUUGAUGGUAAAGCUGGAUUUGAAACUUAGUGCUUUUUGAAACCGGAACAAAUGCAGUAGAAACAUUUAACCAUGUCCCAUCAAAUGCUGUCAAGUUAACGAAGCGCUAUCCAAAAUCUGUGGAUUUGUGGUCCUUUUGAAUAUCAUGUUCAUUAGAGUUUAUAUGGCACUAAGGUUUUUUCUUUUAGUUUGGUCUUUUAUUGUUUGUCCCUUUUCUCUUAAAGGUUGUUGGUAAUUUUAUUUCUGUUGUCUGCUAUAAUAUUUCUGGGUUUUUCUUAUUUAUAAUGUAACUCUCACGUGGAAGUGGCAUCAAGGCUCUUGGAUCACUUUUAAGAGGAACAUGUGGAUAUUAAAUUGGGUUGUUUCUGGAACUUUUGCAGAUCUCGGUCAAGAUCCAGGUCUCCAGUACCAUCUCGGCAGAAACGGGGUAAUAAAAGCCCAAAAAAGCAUGAUUCCAGGAGCAGGAGCCCUAGCCCCAAAAAGCACAUAUCUAGGAGCAGGAGUCCAAGCCCUAAAAAGCACAUCUCGAGGAGCAAGAGUCCAAGCCUAAAGAAGCACAUGUCGAGGAGCAAGAGUCCAAGCCGUAGCCGUAGUAAUAGUGUAUCCAGGUGAUAUUCCAGAGCUGUGGUGAGAUUGAGGUGUAUUGCCCAUCAGCAUCAUUUGUGAUCAUCAAUACCAAUCUCUAAUUUUAUUUUCUUUACCAAUGAACCUGAGAUGUUUUCAACCCAACUUUUGAAUUUUUAUGAUUGUUAAAUUUGACCCGCCGUUGCUAUAUUUGUACUGUGAAUUCUGAUUUUGGAAAGAUCUAAUGGUUUGAACUUUGAAGACUGUUGUCGAUUUGCUAAAUAAUUAUGAUCUUUGUGGGCUUCAGGUUA